AGUGUGUCAAAGUUGACGGCAGAAGUCAUCUUGGGACACGAGCUCGCCGCGUGCUCUGUGGGGUUUGUUUUAAAACCUGUAAUGCAAAUGAUGCAGAACCGGUGCUCAACCACGUGAGAAUCAAGCGGUGACGAGCUGAAAAAAAGAUCCUUUAAUGCGCGCUCUCCGCUCAGACGUCUGGCGCUGACAGGAGGCACCUGGAACUGCUUAGCAGCCGUCGAACUCGAGGCCUCUGGUGGUGUUUCUGGAGGACUCAGCCGACGACCUGGUGAGAAGUGGCCGUAACAAACCAGAUGUGCAGCAGCAACGCGCCUGACGGCUUGGCUUCUUUUACACAAACAUCUGGCAGUACACGGCCUGGAUCUUGGCAUGGGAGCGCGGGUCAUGCAAGGACAGCCCAGAAUAGGAAAAACAGCCCUGACGGAGCCUGCAGCAAAGCACUAAGAGUGGCAGGCAUCCAGCAUAAACCACUGUUAGUACACUGGCCACUGGAGAGUCACUGAAUACACACACGUCUCAGGUAGGACACACACACACACACACACACACACACACUCAGGACCCGUCUGAUGAUCGCCGUGACACGUAUAUAUCACCGUUGUAUAUAGUUUAAGGUGGGGUGAGGUUGCGAUAAAAGCAGUUUGGACUAUUCAUGGUCAAAAUUCAGCCCCGUCCCUUAUGUUCGUCAAGCAUUUGAGUAGGUUCGUAGUUACUAAGCAACCGUCAUGUAGUCCCUCUCAAGCUAAUCUGUCUAGGCCGCUGUGGCUGCAUGGAGCCUGCGAUGCACACUGAUACAUCACCUCGGAUCACCAGCGUCCUUUGUCCACAAGAGCAGCGCCCGACACGCCGAACUGGCCGUCUUUUUUCGAGAAGCCGUGCUUUUUUUUUUUUCUUCUCCAUCGCGCCACGCGGCCCGGUCAUUUAGCCCAGAAAAAAAUAACUCAUCUGUUGUGUUGAUAAAGAGUCAGUGCUCAGGGGAGAUAGGUAGGUCUUUACACCGUGCGCCUCGCUGUGGUUUAUCAGUCUGCUCAGAGGCGGAGGCGAAGUCGUGCUGCCUCUUUUGACUUUUUCAGAACGCCACCCCCCCAAAACAACUAAGCAGAUAAAACCUGACACGGACCGCGCCGGCCGAGGUCUGAUAUGACGAGAGGCUGCUCUCAAAUGUCAAAGCACAAAGUUACCAAUCCAGAAGUGAUUUCUUCUCCGGCUGCUAACGUGACAUGUGGCGAGUUUUUUAAGUGCGUGUUUUGAACAUUGAUUGCAGUUGUCGAAUGAUGACAGAAGGUCUUCCUGGAACUGACAAUAAUAAUGGAAAAAAAAAUUUUCCAUUAUUAAAAAAAAUAGAUUCAAAACUGAUUCCCGUAAAACAGAAUCCGUGCCACAUAGGAGGUCUAUGGGAGGUCAUGGAUGAGUGAUGCAACCAUUUCCCUCUCUUGAGCACGUUUUGCUGGAUGGUGAUCUCGUAUUUUUUAUUUUCCUCGCUGUUCAGAAAGAUUUCCUUUCAUAAUCUCACCGAAACACUCGACCAGCUGAGCCUUCACGGUCACAAAACGAUGGGGAAUACAGCACCGAGGACAAGGACAAGGACGACGUGAACUCAACAGAGAGGUUAGAGAGAGGAAAGGGAGGGAGCUCUUAUUGUUCCUGAUAGAAAGGGGACGAGCUAACUUCAGCACACAUCUCUA
RNAcentral lists this long non-coding RNA (1685 nucleotides) under Sparus aurata (gilthead seabream). RNAcentral's name for it is "lncRNA (ENSSAUG00010024657.1)". Lineage: Eukaryota; Metazoa; Chordata; Actinopteri; Spariformes; Sparidae. The record is from RNAcentral.